RNAcentral lists this ribosomal RNA (291 nucleotides) under Rhodotorula glutinis. Its description in RNAcentral is "partial 26S ribosomal RNA". It matches the Rfam family "Eukaryotic large subunit ribosomal RNA", at positions 1 to 286 of the family's 3401-position model. The record is from RNAcentral. Lineage: Eukaryota; Fungi; Basidiomycota; Microbotryomycetes; Sporidiobolales; Sporidiobolaceae.
GAUCUCAAAUCAGGUAGGACUACCCGCUGAACUUAAGCAUAUCAAUAAGCGGAGGAAAAGAAACUAACAAGGAUUCCCCUAGUAGCGGCGAGCGAAGCGGGAAGAGCUCAAAUUUAUAAUCUGGCACCUUCGGUGUCCGAGUUGUAAUCUCUAGAAGUGUUUUCCGCGUUGGACCGCACACAAGUCUGUUGGAAUACAGCGGCAUAGUGGUGAAACCCCCGUAUAUGGUGCGGACGCCCAGCGCUUUGUGAUACACUUUCAAUGAGUCGAGUUGUUUUGGGGAUUUGCAAA